GUAGGGAAUCUUCCGCAAUGGGCGAAAGCCUGACGGAGCAACGCCGCGUGAGUGAUGAAGGUCUUCGGAUCGUAAAACUCUGUUAUUAGGGAAGAACAAAUGUGUAAGUAACUAUGCACGUCUUGACGGUACCUAAUCAGAAAGCCACGGCUAACUACGUGCCAGCAGCCGCGGUAAUACGUAGGUGGCAAGCGUUAUCCGGAAUUAUUGGGCGUAAAGCGCGCGUAGGCGGUUUUUUAAGUCUGAUGUGAAAGCCCACGGCUCAACCGUGGAGGGUCAUUGGAAACUGGAAAACUUGAGUGCAGAAGAGGAAAGUGGAAUUCCAUGUGUAGCGGUGAAAUGCGCAGAGAUAUGGAGGAACACCAGUGGCGAAGGCGACUUUCUGGUCUGUAACUGACGCUGAUGUGCGAAAGCGUGGGGAUCAAACAGGAUUAGAUACCCUGGUAGUCCACGCCGUAAACGAUGAGUGCUAAGUGUUAGGGGGUUUCCGCCCCUUAGUGCUGCAGCUAACGCAUUAAGCACUCCGCCUGGGGAGUACGACCGCAAGGUUG
Molecule: ribosomal RNA, 551 nt
Filed under: uncultured bacterium
Lineage: Bacteria
Description: bacterial SSU rRNA
Rfam family: Bacterial small subunit ribosomal RNA
Source: RNAcentral